This is a non-coding RNA of Microcebus murinus (gray mouse lemur), 371 nucleotides long. The record is from RefSeq and is a predicted model, not a curated record. NCBI's taxonomy places the organism in Eukaryota, Metazoa, Chordata, Mammalia, Primates, Cheirogaleidae.
UCCAGCACGCGGUCGUACCAGAGGCAGGAGAAGGCUCUUCUCAGCACAGCACAUACGCUAGUUUUCCUUCCCACUGCACCUGUUUAUGGCAUUUCAGGUUUCCUUAGGUGACCUGUCAGCGUUGGGUGACCUGUCAGUGUUGGGUGACCUGUCAGUGUUGGGUGACCUGCCAGUGUGAGCUGACGGAUGCAGCUGGAGCAGGCGGGGAGCCUUGGUGCUCACACAGGACCAAGAAUCUUCCUUUUGCUCAGAGCGAGCAUGAAUAAGUGAUGGUGACCUACAGAAGAAAAUUUCUCUUUCUUCCACACAAAAAUGCACAGAAAGAACAGACCGUGAGAGGAGGAUGAAUCAGCAGAUGAGGCGCAUGAGGC